CAUGCAAGUCGAACGAGACGAUUGAAAGCUUGCUUUUGAGAGUCGAGUGGCAAACGGGUGAGUAACGCGUAGACAACCUGCCGUAAAGAUGGGGACAACAGUUCGAAAGGACUGCUAAUACCGAAUGUUGUAGAGUUUCCGCAUGGGGAUCCUACUAAAGGUGGCCUCUACUUGUAAGCUAUCGCUUUACGAUGGGUCUGCGUCUGAUUAGCUAGUUGGUGGGGUAACGGCCUACCAAGGCGACGAUCAGUAGCCGGUCUGAGAGGAUGAACGGCCACAUUGGAACUGAGACACGGUCCAGACUCCUACGGGAGGCAGCAGUGGGGAAUCUUCCGCAAUGGGCGCAAGCCUGACGGAGCAACGCCGCGUGAGUGAAGAAGGGUUUCGACUCGUAAAGCUCUGUUGUCGGGGACGAAUGUGGAGAUGGUGAAUAACCAUUUUCAAUGACGGUACCUGACGAGGAAGCCACGGCUAACUACGUGCCAGCAGCCGCGGUAAUACGUAGGUGGCGAGCGUUGUCCGGAAUUAUUGGGCGUAAAGGGAGCGCAGGCGGGAAGGUAAGUCUAUCUUAAAAGUGCGGGGCUCAACCCCGUGAGGGGAUGGAAACUAUCUUUCUUGAGUGCAGGAGAGGAAAGCGGAAUUCCUAGUGUAGCGGUGAAAUGCGUAGAUAUUAGGAGGAACACCAGUGGCGAAGGCGGCUUUCUGGACUGUAACUGACGCUGAGGCUCGAAAGCGUGGGGAGCGAACAGGAUUAGAUACCCUGGUAGUCCACGCCGUAAACGAUGAAUGCUAGGUGUAGGAGAUAUCGACCCCUCCUGUGCCG
This 823-nucleotide ribosomal RNA is filed under the name uncultured bacterium. RNAcentral describes it as "bacterial SSU rRNA". It matches the Rfam family "Bacterial small subunit ribosomal RNA", at positions 54 to 848 of the family's 1533-position model. The record is from RNAcentral.